AUGAAAGUAAAGCUUUCCUUGUUUAAUAGGACAAAGUUUAUUGUUGGUGACGGAGCCAUUACGAGAUUCUGGGAGGAUACUUGGCUCGGAGAGGUACCCCUACCCAUCCAAUACCCGUCGUUGUAUCGUAUUGUUCAACGACGUGAGGUUUUUGUUGCAACAGUAUUUCAAUCAAUUCCCCUUAAUAUUCAGUUCAGAAGGGCGUUAGUGGGCAAUCGUUGGGAAGAAUGGUUGCAUCUAGUAAGGAGACUGAUGGACGUUCAGCUUUCCCAACAACCCGAUGAAUUACGCUGGAAGCUUACUAGGUCGGGAGACUUUACAGUUAAAUCAAUGUAUGUUGAUGUGAUCAAUUCAAGCUCGAUUCCUAGUUCCAAACAUGUGUGGGCUGUCAAAGUUCCUUUGAAAAUUAAAGUUUUUAUGUGGUUUCUCCACAAACAAGUUAUUUUAACCAAGGACAACUUGACAAAGCGUAAUUGGACAGGACCUACUAGGUGUAGUUUCUGUGAUCGGGAGGAAACGAUUAAACACCUUUUUCUUGAUUGCCCACUAGCUAAAGUGUUAUGGAGGACAGUCCAUAUUGCUUUCAAUAUUUCUCCAUUGAGUAGAGCCCGAGUUAGCGCGACAUAUUCGUGUAGGAGUCUGCGCCUUGGUGUGGGCGCUCUGGAAUUGCAGGAAUGA
Molecule: ribosomal RNA, 678 nt
Filed under: Triticum aestivum (bread wheat)
Lineage: Eukaryota; Viridiplantae; Streptophyta; Magnoliopsida; Poales; Poaceae
Description: partial small subunit ribosomal RNA
Source: RNAcentral